Molecule: ribosomal RNA, 530 nt
Filed under: uncultured bacterium
Lineage: Bacteria
Description: bacterial SSU rRNA
Rfam family: Bacterial small subunit ribosomal RNA
Source: RNAcentral
AAUAGAUACCCGGUAGUCCACGCCGUAAACGAUGAGUGCUAAGUGUUAGAGGGUUUCCACCCUUUAGUGCUGCAGCUAACGCAUUAAGCACUCCGCCUGGGGGAGUACGGCCGCAAGGCUGAAACUCAAAGGAAUUGACGGGGGGCCCGCACAAGCGGUGGAGCAUGUGGUUUAAUUCGAAGCAACGCGAAGAACCUUACCAGGUCUUGACAUCCUCUGCCAACCCUAGAGAUAGGGCGUUCCCCUUCGGGGGACAGAGUGACAGGUGGUGCAUGGUUGUCGUCAGCUCGUGUCGUGAGAUGUUGGGUUAAGUCCCGCAACGAGCGCAACCCUUGAUCUUAGUUGCCAGCAUUCAGUUGGGCACUCUAAGGUGACUGCCGGUGACAAACCGGAGGAAGGUGGGGAUGACGUCAAAUCAUCAUGCCCCUUAUGACCUGGGCUACACACGUGCUACAAUGGAUGGUACAAAGAGCUGCGAACCCGCGAGGGUAAGCGAAUCUCAUAAAGCCAUUCUCAGUUCGGAUUGUAGG